Molecule: ribosomal RNA, 535 nt
Filed under: uncultured bacterium
Lineage: Bacteria
Description: bacterial SSU rRNA
Rfam family: Bacterial small subunit ribosomal RNA
Source: RNAcentral
ACGCAAUAGAUACCCGGGUAGUCCACGCCCUAAACGAUGUCUACUAGUUGUCGGGUCUUAAUUGACUUGGUAAAGCAGCUAAACGCGUGAAGUAGACCGCCUGGGGAGUACGGUCGCAAGAUUAAAACUCAAAGGAAUUGACGGGGACCCGCACAAGCGGUGGAUGAUGUGGAUUAAUUCGAUGCAACGCGAAAAACCUUACCUACCCUUGACAUGGAUGGAAUCCCUGAGAGAUUGGGGAUGCUCGAAAGAGAACCAUUACACAGGUGCUGCAUGGCUGUCGUCAGCUCGUGUCGUGAGAUGUUGGGUUAAGUCCCGCAACGAGCGCAACCCUUGUCAUUAGUUGCUACGAAAGGGCACUCUAAUGAGACUGCCGGUGACAAACCGGAGGAAGGUGGGGAUGACGUCAAGUCCUCAUGGCCCUUAUGGGUAGGGCUUCACACGUCAUACAAUGGUACAUACAGAGGGCCGCCAACCCGCGAGGGGAGCUAAUCCCAGAAAGUGUAUCGUAGUCCGGAUUGUAGUCUGCAACUCG